AACGAGCGCUGGCGGCAUGCCUAACACAUGCAAGUCGAACGAGACCUUCGGGUCUAGUGGCGCACGGGUGCGUAACGCGUGGGAAUCUGCCCUUGGGUUCGGAAUAACAGUUGGAAACGACUGCUAAUACCGGAUGAUGACGUAAGUCCAAAGAUUUAUCGCCCAGGGAUGAGCCCGCGUAGGAUUAGCUAGUUGGUGGGGUAAAGGCCUACCAAGGCGACGAUCCUUAGCUGGUCUGAGAGGAUGAUCAGCCACACUGGGACUGAGACACGGCCCAGACUCCUACGGGAGGCAGCAGUGGGGAAUAUUGGACAAUGGGCGAAAGCCUGAUCCAGCAAUGCCGCGUGAGUGAUGAAGGCCUUAGGGUUGUAAAGCUCUUUUACCCGGGAUGAUAAUGACAGUACCGGGAGAAUAAGCCCCGGCUAACUCCGUG
Molecule: ribosomal RNA, 433 nt
Filed under: uncultured bacterium
Lineage: Bacteria
Description: partial 16S ribosomal RNA
Rfam family: Bacterial small subunit ribosomal RNA
Source: RNAcentral